AUUGAACGCGGGCGGCAGGCUUAACACAUGCAAGUCGAGCGGGGUGAUGGUGCUUGCACUAUCACUUAGCGGCGGACGGGUGAGUAAUGCUUAGGAAUCUGCCUAUUAGUGGGGGACAACAUCUCGAAAGGGAUGCUAAUACCGCAUACGUCAUACGGGAGAAAGCAGGGGAUCACUUGUGACCUUGCGCUAAUAGAUGAGCCUAAGUCGGAUUAGCUAGUUGGUGGGGUAAAGGCCUACCAAGGCGACGAUCUGUAGCGGGUCUGAGAGGAUGAUCCGCCACACUGGGACUGAGACACGGCUCAGACUCCUACGGGAGGCAGCAGUGGGGAAUAUUGGACAAUGGGGGGAACCCUGAUCCAGCCAUGCCGCGUGUGUGAAGAAGGCCUUAUGGUUGUAAAGCACUUUAAGCGAGGAGGAGGCUCUUUUGGUUAAUACCCAAGAUGAGUGGACGUUACUCGCAGAAUAAGCACCGGCUAACUCUGUGCCAGCCGCCGCCGUAA
RNAcentral lists this ribosomal RNA (503 nucleotides) under uncultured bacterium. RNAcentral's name for it is "partial 16S ribosomal RNA". It matches the Rfam family "Bacterial small subunit ribosomal RNA", at positions 30 to 523 of the family's 1533-position model. The record is from RNAcentral.